RNAcentral lists this non-coding RNA (175 nucleotides) under uncultured Faecousia sp. RNAcentral describes it as "malK-I RNA". It matches the Rfam family "malK-I RNA". Lineage: Bacteria; Bacillati; Bacillota; Clostridia; Eubacteriales; Oscillospiraceae. The record is from RNAcentral.
UCCCGUCUACUCCACAACAAUAGGCGCUGAUCCGCUAAAAUAAAGGAGGAUAAACCCGUCCGACUCACGGUGCGGCAGUGUGGAGACCUGUCGUAAUGCUUCCGCAAUUUUGCUUUGCGGAACGCGAGAAUGCACGCGAAAGGCUCGGUGCAUUUCGAGUCAAAACAGUAUGGCA